RNAcentral lists this transfer RNA (70 nucleotides) under Dipodomys ordii (Ord's kangaroo rat). It matches the Rfam family "tRNA". Rfam says of the family: Transfer RNA (tRNA) molecules are approximately 80 nucleotides in length. Their secondary structure includes four short double-helical elements and three loops (D, anti-codon, and T loops). Further hydrogen bonds mediate the characteristic L-shaped molecular structure. tRNAs have two regions of fundamental functional importance: the anti-codon, which is responsible for specific mRNA codon recognition, and the 3' end, to which the tRNAs corresponding amino acid is attached (by aminoacyl-tRNA synthetases). tRNAs cope with the degeneracy of the genetic code in two manners: having more than one tRNA (with a specific anti-codon) for a particular amino acid; and 'wobble' base-pairing, i.e. permitting non-standard base-pairing at the 3rd anti-codon position. The record is from Rfam by way of RNAcentral. Lineage: Eukaryota; Metazoa; Chordata; Mammalia; Rodentia; Heteromyidae.
GGGAAUGUGGCUCAGUGGUAGAGUGCUCGCCUAACAUGCAUGAAGCCCUGGGUUCGAUUCCUCAGUACCA